CGCAGUCCCCGUUCCCCUCCGACUGCGCAGCUCGCCCACGCUCGCUCGCCCCCUUGUCGGCGACGCCUCGCAGCUCCCCCACGCUGAGCCGCGGCGCCGCUCGCCCGCGCAACUCCCCCGCCCAGUUCUCUCCUCCCUACCCUGCAAAUCCUGCUUCCGCCGCGCCACAGCUCCCCCGCGAAGCUCAAGGAACGGCUUUGCCCCUUCCUUGAGUCCCUCGUCGCCAUGGCUUGCGUCCUCCUUCCUUCUCCAUGGUGAGCUCCUCCCUGCUGCCUCCAUCCAUGUCCGCCAUCGAGCAGGACAUGGUGGCGGCCAGAUCCACGCCUGCUCGUCAGGAGACGGACGCCAUGGAGCUGUUCAUCAAGGUCCUACCUUGGUGAGUGCUGACGCCAAGCAGGCGUGCUGCGCCGGUGAGUCGCUCUAGAAGGAGCUUGAGGAGAUGGGUGUGCCGGUGUGUCAAGAUCUGUCGCUGGUGUGCUGUAAGGAGUAGAAUUCUGAAUUUAAGUUGGAGACAACAUUUCUGAACCUUGUUUAUUCUGAAUCAUUUAAGUUGGAGUACUUUGAUUGGAAAUUCGUAUGGACUUUGAUUGGAAAUUCUUCACAAUCUGAAUUUUCAGGUAUAAAACUGGGCUUUACACAACUGGGUGUUUUCAGGUACUCCAUCAGAGGAGCAGCUCUUCCAUGGGGUCCAACAGCGUUUCCAGUCACAGGUAUACGUAUUAUCUGAAACUAUGUCCUCCUCCUUGCGACGAGCCAGACGACACAAGCAAAGGCUCCCCCUUGCAAGCUCGACGGCAGCGGCUGCUCGACGACGGCAGCGGCUGCUCGACGACGGCAAGCAGUACGAAGAGAUCUCAAUCUUACUAAGAUCCUGUUCGUGGGCGGGUUAGUGGCUGUCGACCACAACCACCACCACCAGUAGCCGGCGGCCGAAUCGGGGGCGAAGUGGACCAGCGCUGCGGCGGUGGGCGGCAGAAUUGGGGGCAAAGUGGACCAGAGUGGCGGCGGUGGACGGCGGAAUCAGGGGCAAAGUGGACCAGCGCAACGGCGGUGGGUGGCGGAGGCCCUGCUCGUGGGUGGGCGGCGGAGGUCCUCCUGGGCGGACUCGUCGGCGGUGCAGGGCCUGUUGUGGGUGGCCUCCUGGGCGGGCUCGUCGGCAGAGCAGGACCUGCUUGGGCAACGGGCGGCUGGCCAUGGCGCCGCGCGGGCGACGGACGGAGGAGGAAGAACGAGAUGGAGACUUAUUUGUCAGAGCUUUAGAAGUUUAAAGCUUUUCUGCAAAAACAUCAUUGUACUGUGCGUGCGACAUGAAUUUCAGGACGAAGGGAGUAUGUGCUUAAUAAGGAAGGGCGGCUGAAGACUAUGUUCUGAUGCGGUU
Molecule: long non-coding RNA, 1378 nt
Organism: Triticum dicoccoides
Lineage: Eukaryota; Viridiplantae; Streptophyta; Magnoliopsida; Poales; Poaceae
Exons: 3
Source: RefSeq, a predicted model, not a curated record